ACCACGUCGCCUGGAAGCUGACACUUGCAUGUAAACACCGUCACAGCUGCUCACAGCUACACACUUCCAUAAUUCCUUCGUUCUUCUUGCUUGGCUAAUACACCCAGGAUGCGUCAGUUAAAAGGAAAAGUGAAAGAAACAGCCAAGGAGAAGAAGGAACGAAAGAAAGAAUUUAUGGAAAAUAAGGAGAAGGCCUUCACUGUUGCCCUUCCAGUGUUUGUGGGAUUGUUUAUUGUCAUUGCCCUUCUAGUUUACUUCAAGACAAGACCAAAGGAGAUUGAACUCUAACAUCUACAAAUACGUGCAGAAUAUCUUCAUAUUAUUAGUUCUGUCCAUUGGGAGUAUUUAUUAAGCAAGAAUGAUGAGUUAAUACAAUACCUGGUUUAUGAUUGCACUAUCACUUUAUACAGUGAAAUAUUUAUUUUGUGAAUGAUUUUUUUUACUUCAUUCUAAUAGUACAUCAGUUAAUAUAUUUGAAGAAUAGUUUGUACUAGGAGGUAACGAGAUAUAUUUUGGAAACUAGUUUUUAAUCCAUGUGCUAUGUAAUUUUUUAUCAAAUAGCUAAACUGUUUGUAUUAAAUUUGUAUGAUUGUCUAAAGUCUUUAUAUUACUUGGACAUGUUUCACACACAACAAUAUUUUUUUGAAGCAUCCUGUUGUGAUAAAAAUAUUUUGCCUCUCCUGAAAAAGAAAUGAAUUGUAUUGGAAUCGCUUACUAAGACUCGUAAGAUCAUAACACGAUUGCAAACAAAUCACAGAACGAGUUUUAGGAUUCACUUGCCAUAGGUUCAAGCUCCACCCUUUCUGUGAUUUAUUUACUAAGAUUUUAAAUUGUUUCAUGGUAUAUGUUGUAAUUCUCUAUUGCUGUUUCAGUAUUAAUUUAUUAAAGUUUCCUCCUUCAGUAGUAGAUGCAGUCGAGUGUCUGGGAGAGAGUUUCUCAUAAAAUAAUAGAUAUAUACAGUACCUUAUUUAAUAUGUAAGUAUAAAAUUGUGUACACAAAUCCCAUCACAUGAUUGCAGUCAUUAAUUUGGUUGCUUCACAAGGUUCAUGUGCCUUAACCCUCACCAGAACUUCAUGGAUGUCACUAGACUUAAAAGAUUUUGUAUUUUACCUCCCCAUGAGUGUACCUGUCAUGGGAUGUGAUGUUCUGUUUUAAGAAUAUACCCUGUUAACUGUUUCGCGAAUAAAGUUUCAAGAUUUUAUUAAGAUUC
This is a long non-coding RNA of Cherax quadricarinatus, 1211 nucleotides long. RefSeq lists it as uncharacterized. The record is from RefSeq and is a predicted model, not a curated record. NCBI's taxonomy places the organism in Eukaryota, Metazoa, Arthropoda, Malacostraca, Decapoda, Parastacidae.